RNAcentral lists this non-coding RNA (918 nucleotides) under Abavorana luctuosa (mahogany frog). RNAcentral describes it as "partial 12S ribosomal RNA". It matches the Rfam family "Bacterial small subunit ribosomal RNA". The record is from RNAcentral. Lineage: Eukaryota; Metazoa; Chordata; Amphibia; Anura; Ranidae.
GUCCUAGCCUUGUCAUUAACUCUCUCUUAACUUAUACAUGCAAGUUUCAGCACCCCAGUGAGAACCCCCUUUAACCUCCACCAGGCCAAGGAGCCGGCAUCAGGCUCUAUCAUAAGCCCACAACGCCUAGUCUCACCACACCCCCAAGGGUAAUCAGCAGUAAUAAAUCUUGUUCAUAAGCGUCAGCUUGACUCAGUUAAAGAGAAGAGGGCCGGCUAACCCGGUGCCAGCCGCCGCGGCUAUACCCAGGGGCCCAAGUUAAUGACCCACGGCGUCAAGCGUGAUUAAAGUUUUUGAAAUUAGUGCCAAAUUAAUACUUAGUAGUAACAAACUUGUCAUUAAGAAAAACACAAACGAAAGUUGCCCUAAUAAAUAUACUUGAAUACACGACAGUUAGGAGAACAAACUGGGAUCAGAUACCCCACUAUGCCUAACCGUAAACAAUUAAUUUACAUACCCAACGCCAGGGAAUUACGAGUAAUGCUUAAAACCCAAAGGAUUUGACGGUGUCCCACCCACCUAGAGGAGCCUGUUCUUUAAUCGAUACCCCCCGCUAUACCUGACCAUUCUUAGCCUAUCAGUCUGUAUACCUCCGUCGAAAGCUUACCAUGUGAACGUCUCCAGUAAGCUAAAUGACCCCAUCAACACGUCAGGUCAAGGUGCAGCUCACGGAAUGGGAAGUAAUGGGCUACAGUCUCUAAUAUAAAACAAACGAAAGAUUAUGUGAAAUCAUAACCACGAAGGCGGAUUUAGUAGUAAAAAGAAAAUAGAGAGUUCUUUUUAACCCGGCUCUGGGACGUGUACACACCGCCCGUCACCCUCUUCAGUUUCAUCUAUACGUUUUUAACCUAUCCCUACAUUAUAGAAGAGGCAAGUCGUAACAUGGUAAGUGUACUGGAAAGUGCACUUGGAUUAANN